UCUGAAGAGAGCACGCCGCGUGAGUGAAGAAGGUUUUCGGAUCGUAAAGCUCUGUUGUUGGUGAAGAAGGAUAGAGGUAGUAACUGGCCUUUAUUUGACGGUAAUCAACCAGAAAGUCACGGCUAACUACGUGCCAGCAGCCGCGGUAAU
RNAcentral lists this ribosomal RNA (150 nucleotides) under uncultured bacterium. Its description in RNAcentral is "partial 16S ribosomal RNA". It matches the Rfam family "Bacterial small subunit ribosomal RNA", at positions 382 to 524 of the family's 1533-position model. The record is from RNAcentral.